This 202-nucleotide long non-coding RNA is filed under the name Lathyrus oleraceus (garden pea). RNAcentral describes it as "Pisum sativum (pea) long non-coding RNA (PSAT_LNC027130)". The record is from RNAcentral. Lineage: Eukaryota; Viridiplantae; Streptophyta; Magnoliopsida; Fabales; Fabaceae.
GUUAUUUCCCUUUCUUAUAUCAAAAAAAAAAUAAAAAAUAAAUAAUUAUAAUAUAUAUUUAUUUUAAGUUGAGUCCCUAGUGUGAAACAUGUUUACUAUCUACUCCCCUCAAUUUUCUUGAGCCACAACAAAAAUUCAACACACUCAAUACGUAUAAAGGUCGCUUAUUUUAUCAAACUUGAGUAAAAUUAAGACAAAAAUU